GUUGUUGAUGUGACCGCGUGUCCACAACCCUGGGAUUCCCUCGCCCUCAGAUUCCAGAAUCCAAUUUCUUGGAUUUCAGUGUUUUUAAGCCCAAGAUUCAGAAUCCACUGGCCUUGAGUUCGCCCUGUCCUGGGGACAGUGGGACCUGUCACCUGCUGGCCAAGCUGCUCAGGAGUGUGGAGCCUGCAGGAAACAAUGGCAGGAGAUCUGGGCUUUUUCUGGCUGCAGGCCUGACUGCAGCAGAGAAGGUAACAGAGAAGGAAAGAGAGAGGAAGAAAGAGUGAGAGAGAGAGACUGGCUUCUCCUCCAUUUCUCAAGCAAGCCUUGCCAGCACCGCCCACCGUGGAGCUGCGGCUGGUCCUGGGGCGAAUGCAGAGCUGAGCAGCAUACAGCUCCUGCUCUCAAAGACCUGGCAACUCUGACAUGGAAGUAAGGCUUGCCCAAGAGAGGAGAGUGACUAAGGGCUGCACUGCUGGAUGCCUCCAGACCCUUCGAUAAGGGGUCUGGGAGGGCAGGGGGCAGACAGUGAGGGCAGGAUGGUAGAAAAUGUGUUGACUCAGUGCCAGACCCUGAACUA
Homo sapiens (human) is the source of this 577-nucleotide long non-coding RNA. Ensembl annotates it as EPCAM divergent transcript. Its record names the gene EPCAM-DT. NCBI's taxonomy places the organism in Eukaryota, Metazoa, Chordata, Mammalia, Primates, Hominidae. The record is from Ensembl.